GUGGGUAUAGCUCAGUGGUAGAGUGUAUGCUUAGCAUGCACAGCAUCCGUGAGGUCCUGGGCUCAAUCCCUAGUAUCUCCA
RNAcentral lists this transfer RNA (81 nucleotides) under Camelus bactrianus (Bactrian camel). It matches the Rfam family "tRNA". From Rfam's summary of the family: Transfer RNA (tRNA) molecules are approximately 80 nucleotides in length. The record is from Rfam by way of RNAcentral. Lineage: Eukaryota; Metazoa; Chordata; Mammalia; Artiodactyla; Camelidae. RNAcentral also lists the same sequence under 2 other names.